UACGAAGGGGGCUAGCGUUGCUCGGAAUCACUGGGCGUAAAGGGUGCGUAGGCGGGUCUUUAAGUCAGGGGUGAAAUCCUGGAGCUCAACUCCAGAACUGCCUUUGAUACUGAAGAUCUUGAGUUCGGGAGAGGUGAGUGGAACUGCGAGUGUAGAGGUGAAAUUCGUAGAUAUUCGCAAGAACACCAGUGGCGAAGGGCGGCUCACUGGCCCGAUACUGACGCUGAGGCACGAAAAGCGUGGGGGAGCAAACAGG
Molecule: ribosomal RNA, 256 nt
Filed under: uncultured bacterium
Lineage: Bacteria
Description: partial 16S ribosomal RNA
Rfam family: Bacterial small subunit ribosomal RNA
Source: RNAcentral